RNAcentral lists this ribosomal RNA (404 nucleotides) under uncultured bacterium. Its description in RNAcentral is "bacterial SSU rRNA". It matches the Rfam family "Bacterial small subunit ribosomal RNA", at positions 356 to 776 of the family's 1533-position model. The record is from RNAcentral.
GUGGAAUAUUGCACAAUGGGGGAAACCCUGAUGCAGCGACGCCGCGUGAGCGAUGAGGUAUUUCGGUAUGUAAAGCUCUAUCAGCGGGGAAGACAAAUGACGGUACCUGACUAAGAAGCACCGGCUAAAUACGUACAAGCAUCCGCGGUAAUACGUAUGGUGCAAGCGUUAUCCGGAUUUACUGGGUGUAAAGGGAGCGCAGGCGGUACGGCAAGUCUGAUGUGAAAGCCCGGGGCUCAACCCCGGUACUGCAUUGGAAACUGUCGGACUAGAGUGUCGGAGGGGUAAGUGGAAUUCCUAGUGUAGCGGUGAAAUGCGUAGAUAUUAGGAGGAACACCAGUGGCGAAGGCGGCUUACUGGACGAUUACUGACGCUGAGGCUCGAAAGCGUGGGGAGCAAACAGG